Molecule: ribosomal RNA, 546 nt
Filed under: Veillonella parvula
Lineage: Bacteria; Bacillati; Bacillota; Negativicutes; Veillonellales; Veillonellaceae
Description: bacterial SSU rRNA
Rfam family: Bacterial small subunit ribosomal RNA
Source: RNAcentral
CUUCUUGCGAACAGUUAGAAGGAUUGACGGUACCGGAAUAGAAAGCCACGGCUAACUACGUGCCAGCAGCCGCGGUAAUACGUAGGUGGCAAGCGUUGUCCGGAAUUAUUGGGCGUAAAGCGCGCGCAGGCGGAUCAGUCAGUCUGUCUUAAAAGUUCGGGGCUUAACCCCGUGAUGGGAUGGAAACUGCUGAUCUAGAGUAUCGGAGAGGAAAGUGGAAUUCCUAGUGUAGCGGUGAAAUGCGUAGAUAUUAGGAAGAACACCAGUGGCGAAGGCGACUUUCUGGACGAAAACUGACGCUGAGGCGCGAAAGCCAGGGGAGCGAACGGGAUUAGAUACCCCGGUAGUCCUGGCCGUAAACGAUGGGUACUAGGUGUAGGAGGUAUCGACCCCUUCUGUGCCGGAGUUAACGCAAUAAGUACCCCGCCUGGGGAGUACGACCGCAAGGUUGAAACUCAAAGGAAUUGACGGGGGCCCGCACAAGCGGUGGAGUAUGUGGUUUAAUUCGACGCAACGCGAAGAACCUUACCAGGGCUUGACAUUGAG